GUGCCAGCCGCCGCGGUAAUACAGAGGUCUCGAGCGUUAGUCGGAAUCACUGGGCUUAAAGCGUACGUAGGCGGAUAUGCAGGCGUCGUGUGAAAUCCCCGGGCUCAACCCGGGAACUGCACGGCGAACCGCAUGUCUUGAGAUCGGUAGGGGCGGUCGGAACGAUAGGUGGAGUGGUGAAAUGCGUUGAUAUCUAUCGGAACGCCGAAGGUGAAGACAGGCCGCUGGGCCGACUCUGACGCUGAGGUACGAAAGCGUGGGUAGCGAACGGGAUUAGAAACCCCGGUAGUCC
This 292-nucleotide ribosomal RNA is filed under the name uncultured bacterium. RNAcentral's name for it is "partial 16S ribosomal RNA". It matches the Rfam family "Bacterial small subunit ribosomal RNA", at positions 505 to 796 of the family's 1533-position model. The record is from RNAcentral.